CCAAGCAGCAGCCAUGUUGAAACUCUCAGAUCAGUCUGAUCCUGAUCUGCAGAGAUAUUUGAGGCACACACACACACACACACACAUACAGAUUUCUUGCUUUUAUAGAGAGAUUGUAGAGCAUGGAGCCCCGCAAAAGUUCCCAAAAGUUAGCUUUUGCUAAUUUCUGCUCAAUGUAAUUCUUCUGGGGCACACCGGAGCAACACUUGUUCAAGGUGAUAUCAUCUUGCACAUAUUUGGGAACCUACAGUAGGAACACUGUGUUGUGGAGCAUCAGUGAUGCUGCAAGCCAGGAGUACUGAGUGGACCACAGUAACACUGGAAACAUAGUAAGCAUGAUGAAAGCCUGCUGUUUUUAAGGAAUUCAUUGUGGACUCUAGUAGCGCCCAUCCAGGACACUGAGGCCACGCCCUCGGCAUCUUUACUGGGUCUUUGAUAUCUUCAUCUAAAUAUCUGUCUUAUCGUUGAAAUAAACUAAUACACAUUGUUUUUGAAAAGGCAAUUAAACUUUAAGAGUGUUUUGACUGUUAACAAGCAACUUUUUUCUAUAGCAACUCGUAAUACUUUUUAAAUGGUUAACCAUUACAAUAAAUAAUACAUGUUUAAUGAACCAUGGCAGUGUUUCUUAACUGUGGAAUUACUGCCAAAUCUAAUAAACUCUAUGUUGACUGUUUAUCAGUGAUGGCUAUCACGAAGUUUUACCUGAACUUCUUUUUUAGCAUAGAAGAAGUUAAAAUAAGUUUCACACAUUUAAGUCAAAACAGGCCAUAUUUUGUUUGUCUGUUUGCUGUAACUGAUAUUAUUUCCUAAGUGAUUAUUGGUCCUGUAAUAAUACAGAGAAAUGCACAGAUUUAUACUAUAAUCUUCAAAAUGGUCUUGGUGGAUGGAUGACCUCAGCAUUUCUAAAAUCCUGGCUACUGCCCUGCCUGUUCAUACUGAAUAUUGCAUUAUGACUAUUUUUGUACUGCUUCGGUGCUGUUUAUCACAGUGCACUUUGAGUACAGUAUUGUGGCAGUGUAGGGUGUUUUACGUUGUUUACAUAGAAUCAUCUUUGCAGUGCAAAUUUACUGUGUCCAUGAUGUUAAGAUGAAGCCACACCCCUUCCUGUGGACCCCUUGGGUCCUCAUUGUCCAAGAGUAGUUGAGUAUUCUUUAUGAACAGUAACAUUAGAUAAAACAGAGUCAUAAAAUAGGGUACAGCUGUAACAUAUCACAGACUCCUGAUACCGUACAUAUGUCUACAAAAUACAAAUAAAGUUAUUUCCAUGGUUUAUUUCCAUGGUUUCGUCAUGGCACGUCAGCAGAGUGGCAAAGCAUCAUCCUUCAUCGUUAAAAUGAGAGAAUACAGAAUUGAUCAGAGGUUUUAUCAUUUAUAAUGAUAACAGGGAGCAUUCUGUAGUUUUGGAGAAUAAAGGUUAAUGAGUAGAGAAAGACCUCCAUUGGCUGAUUUUC
This is a long non-coding RNA of Acanthopagrus latus (yellowfin seabream), 1451 nucleotides long. RefSeq lists it as uncharacterized. NCBI's taxonomy places the organism in Eukaryota, Metazoa, Chordata, Actinopteri, Spariformes, Sparidae. The transcript is spliced from 4 exons. The record is from RefSeq and is a predicted model, not a curated record.